RNAcentral lists this ribosomal RNA (389 nucleotides) under uncultured microorganism. RNAcentral describes it as "bacterial SSU rRNA". It matches the Rfam family "Archaeal small subunit ribosomal RNA", at positions 330 to 720 of the family's 1478-position model. The record is from RNAcentral.
GCGCACCAGGCGAGAAAACUUCACACUGUGCGAAAGCACGAUGAGGGAAUCCCAAGUGCUUGCACGUAAGUGUAAGCUGUUUCUCUGUCUAAAACGCAGAGAGAGUAAGGGCUGGGUAAGACGGGUGCCAGCCGCCGCGGUAAUACCUGCAGCUCAAGUGGUGACCGUUAUUAUUGGGCCUAAAACGUCCGUAGCCGGUUUAAUAAAUGCCUGGGUAAAUUGUGUAGCUUAACUAUACGAAUUCCGGGUAGACUGUUAAACUUGAGACCGGGAGAAGUUAGAGGUACUCCUGGGGUAGAGGUGAAAUUCUGUAAUCCUAGGGGGACCACCAGUGGCGAAGGCGUCUAACUAGAACGGGUCUGACGGUGAGGGACGAAGCCCUGGGGCGC